ACGAACGCUGGCGGCAGGCUUAACACAUGCAAGUCGAACGAUGGCUUCGGCCAUAGUGGCGCACGGGUGAGUAACGCGUGGGAACCUACCCUGAAGUGGGGGAUAACCUCGGGAAACUGAGGCUAAUACCGCAUAUGCCCUGAGGGGCAAAGACUUCGGUCGCUUUAGGGCGGGCCCGCGCCCGAUUAGGUAGUUGGUGAGGUAAAGGCUCACCAAGCCUACGAUCAGUAGCUGGUCUGAGAGGAUGAUCAGCCACACUGGGACUGAGACACGGCCCAGACUCCUACGGGAGGCAGCAGUGAGGAAUAUUGGACAAUGGAGGAAACUCUGAUCCAGCCAUGCCGCGUGAGUGAUGAAGGCCUUCGGGUUGUAAAGCUCUUUCGGGUGUGAAAAUGAUGAUGGUAACACCAGAAGAAGCCCCGGCUAACUCCGU
This 433-nucleotide ribosomal RNA is filed under the name uncultured bacterium. RNAcentral describes it as "bacterial SSU rRNA". It matches the Rfam family "Bacterial small subunit ribosomal RNA", at positions 29 to 506 of the family's 1533-position model. The record is from RNAcentral.